UACAGAGGUCCCAAGCGUUGUUCGGAAUUACUGGGCGUAAAGGGCGCGUAGGCGGCCUGCUAAGUCGAACGUGAAAUCCCUGGGCUCAACCCAGGAACUGCGUCCGAGACUGGUUGGCUUGAAUCCGGCAGAGGGGGGUGGAAUUCCGCGUGUAGCAGUGAAAUGCGUAGAGAUGCGGAGGAACACCGAUGGCGAAGGCAGCCCCCUGGGCCGACACUGACGCUCAGGCACGAAAGCGUGGGGAGCAAACAGG
Molecule: ribosomal RNA, 253 nt
Filed under: uncultured bacterium
Lineage: Bacteria
Description: partial 16S ribosomal RNA
Rfam family: Bacterial small subunit ribosomal RNA
Source: RNAcentral